UAACUUACCUGGCAGGGGAGAUAACCAUGAUCAGGUGGCUUUUCCAGGCAGAGACUUGUCCAUUGCAUUCCAGAUGUACUAACACCUGGUAGGAGAUGCCUCAGUACGUAAAGUCCUUGUAUGUGUUACAAGUAUAAGGA
Molecule: small nuclear RNA, 140 nt
Filed under: Nannospalax galili (Upper Galilee mountains blind mole rat)
Lineage: Eukaryota; Metazoa; Chordata; Mammalia; Rodentia; Spalacidae
Description: U1 spliceosomal RNA (ENSNGAG00000008654.1)
Source: RNAcentral